Molecule: ribosomal RNA, 2798 nt
Filed under: Cyanobacteria bacterium QS_8_64_29
Lineage: Bacteria; Bacillati; Cyanobacteriota
Description: bacterial LSU rRNA
Rfam family: Bacterial large subunit ribosomal RNA
Source: RNAcentral
AGGUCAAGCGACCAAGAGCCAACGGCGGAUCCCUAGGCACGCAGAGGCGAGGAAGGACGCGGCAACCGGCGAUACGCUCCGGGGAGCCGGAAGCAGGCAGCGAUCCGGAGGUUUCCGAAUGGGACAACCCCAAGCAUGGGCCGCUGAAUCCAUAGGCGGUCUCGGGCCAACCCGGCGAACUGAAACAUCUCAGUAGCCGGCGGAGCAGAAAGCAACCGCGAUUCCCUUAGUAGCGGCGAGCGAACGGGGACCAGCCCAAACCGCUCGCUACGGCGAGCGGGGUUGUGGGGCGGCCAUCAGGGAUGGGAAAGGCUAGGCGAAGCAGCUGAAUGCUGCACCAGAGCGGGUGAAAGUCCCGUAGCCGAAAGCUGGAACCGCCCGGCCGGACCCCGAGUAGCUCGGGGCACGGGGAACCCCGAGUGAAGCGGCGAGGACCACCUCGCAAGGCUAAAUACUCCUGCGUGACCGAUAGCGGACCAGUACCGCGAGGGAAAGGUGAAAAGAACCCCGGCGAGGGGAGUGAAACAGAACGUGAAACCGUUGGCUUACAAGCAGUGGGAGGACGAUUCAACGUCUGACCGCGUGCCUGUUGAAGAAUGCGCCGGCGAGUGGCUGGUCGUGGCUUGGUUAAGGCGGUUUCCGCCGGAGCCAUAGCGAAAGCGAGUCCGAAUGGGGCGCGUACGGUCACGGUCAGCCGACCCGAACCCGGGUGAACUAACCAUGCCCAGGAGGAAGCUUGGGUAAAACCAAGUGGACGUCCGAACCGACCAACGUUGCAAAGUUGGCGGAUGAGGUGUGGUUAGCGGUGAAAUGCCAAUCGAACCCGGAGCUAUCUGGUUCUCCCCGAAAUGCGUUUCGGCGCAGCCGUGGUGAGACCGAGCUGGGGGUACAGCACUGUUUCGCCGAGGGCCGCGAAAGCGGUACCGAGGCGAGGCAAACUCGGAAUACCAGCCGGAGCGCCACGAGUGAGACGGUGGGGGAUAAGCUCCAUCGUCGAGAGGGAAAGAGCCCAGACCACCAGCUAAGGCCCCCAAAUGGCCGCUAAGUGAUAAAGGAGGUGGGAAUGCUGAGACAACCAGGAGGUUUGCCUAGAAGCAGCAAUCCUUAAAAGAGUGCGUAAUAGCUCACUGGUCAAGCGUUCCCGCGCCGAAAAUGACCGGGGCUAAGCGGCCUGCCGAAGCUGUGGCGUUCGAGCGAUGCGCUCGGACGGGUAGGGGAGCGUUCCGCGGGGGGCGAAGCACUAGCGACGAGCAGGUGUGGACCGCGCGGAAGUGAGAAUGUCGGCUUGAGUAGCGAAAACUGAGGUGAGAAUCCUCAGCCCCGAAACCCCAAGGGUUCCUUCGGAAGGUUCGUCCGCGAAGGGUCAGUCAGGACCUAAGGCGAGGCCACAAGGCGUAGCCGAUGGCAAACGGGUCAACAUUCCCGUACCGUUGCGGGUUGGUGAUGGGGGACGGAGAAGGCGAGGCCCAGCUGGGGAAUGGUCGUUCCCGGUGCAAGCGUUCGAGGCAAAGACGGGCGGCGAAAACGCCCAUCAGCCAAGGCGCGAGUCCGAGGGGCUACGGCCCCGAAGUGGAACCCGUCCGGCUUCCAAGAAAAGCCCUAACCACCGCAAGCUCGCAACGCCUGUACCCGAAACCGACACAGGUGGGGUGGUAGAGGAUACCGAGGGGCGCGAGAUAACUCUCUCCAAGGAACUCGGCAAAAUGGCCCCGUAACUUCGGGAGAAGGGGUGCCACCGUCAGGUGGCCGCAGUGAAGAGGCCCAGACGACUGUUUACCAAAAACACAGGUCUCCGCUAAGUCGAAAGACGCCGUAUGGGGGCUGACGUCUGCCCAGUGCCGGAAGGUUAAGGAAGCCGGUUAGCCGCAAGGCGAAGCCAGCGACCGAAGCCCCGGUGAACGGCGGCCGUAACUAUAACGGUCCUAAGGUAGCGAAAUUCCUUGUCGGGUAAGUUCCGACCCGCACGAAAGACGCAACGAUCUGGGCACUGUCUCGGAGAGGGACUCGGCGAAAUAGGAAUGUCUGUGAAGAUACGGACUAUCCGCACCUGGACAGAAAGACCCCGUGAAGCUUUACUGCAACCUGGAAUUGGGUUCGGGCCCCGCUUGCGCAGGAUAGGUGGGAGGCGCCGAAGGCUUGCCUGCGGGCGAGCUGGAGCCAUCCUUGAGAUACCACCCUGGCGAGGCCGGAAUCCUAACCGGCACCCGUGAGCCGGGGCGGGAACAGUUUCAGGCGGGCAGUUUGACUGGGGCGGUCGCCUCCUAAACGGUAGCGGAGGCGCGCCAAGGUUCCCUCAGGCUGGUUGAAAAUCAGCCGUCGAGUGUAAAGGCACAAGGGAGCCUGACUGCGAGAGGGACCACUCGAGCAGGGACGAAAGUCGGCCUUAGUGAUCCGGCGGCGCUGCGUGGAAGGGCCGUCGCUCAACGGAUAAAAGUUACUCCGGGGAUAACAGGCUGAUCUCCCCCAAGAGUUCACAUCGACGGGGAGGUUUGGCACCUCGAUGUCGGCUCAUCGCAACCUGGGGCGGGAGUACGUCCCAAAGCCCUCCUCAGUACGAGAGGACCGGGAGGGACGCACCGCUGGUGUACCAGUUAUCCCGCCAGGGGUAAACGCUGGGUAGCUAAGUGCGGAGCGGAUAACCGCUGAAAGCAUCUAAGUGGGAAGCCCACCUCAAGAUGAGUGCUCUGGCUCCUUUAAGGAGGUAAGGUCACGGGAAGACUACCCGUCGAUAGGCGCUAGGUGUAAGGUCAGCAAUGGCUUGAGCCGAGGCGUCCUAACAGACCGAGGGCUUGACCGCG